Molecule: ribosomal RNA, 207 nt
Filed under: uncultured bacterium
Lineage: Bacteria
Description: partial 16S ribosomal RNA
Rfam family: Bacterial small subunit ribosomal RNA
Source: RNAcentral
CGCGUAGGCGGCCAUCUAAGUCAGACGUGAAAUCCCCCGGCUUAACCUGGGAACUGCGUCUGAUACUGGACGGCUCGAGUAUGGGAGAGGGAUGUAGAAUUCCAGGUGUAGCGGUGAAAUGCGUAGAUAUCUGGAGGAAUACCGGUGGCGAAGGCGGCAUCCUGGACCAUUUACUGACGCUGAGGCGCGAAAGCUAGGGAGCAAACG